Long non-coding RNA from Crocodylus porosus (Australian saltwater crocodile), 2695 nucleotides. NCBI's taxonomy places the organism in Eukaryota, Metazoa, Chordata, Crocodylia, Crocodylidae. The record is from Ensembl.
UGGCCAUGGUGCAUAGCUCAGAGCCGGAAAGCAAACAGCUGCUGUAGCCUGAUUUGAGUUAAAAUAGUGUCAGUGUUUAGUCUGGCGCACUGCUUCAGGAGAGAUUGGCAGCUGGGUCAAACAAAGUCAUUCCAUUGGCUCCUUUCCCAGUGAGCUUCUGCUAGUAUUUAGCUGACGCAUCCUGCUCUCAACGUGGUGUAGAAAGCAGUCUGUUACAGUGCUGGAUUAAUAAAAGGGGCCUUUAUGGGUUGUGAAAGAAUAUCUCUGUGCUUAGGCAGGAAACUUUUUGAUCCACAGAAAACCCUGACGACAUCUAGGUCUCCAAAGAGGUCUAACAGUGUGAAAAAUAGUUGGCUGUCCCGUGCAAAAGAAGCUUGUUUUCAUAAAUUCUUCAGCAGCCUGUGCAUUGUGAUGAACUGUACAGUGAUCAGAAAAUUUAAAACAGAAUGGAAAAUGAAGAAGUUGUUAAUAACAGAAAUCAACAAAGCCGAAGCAUUUCCCGAAGAGCACUGAGUUUUCUAUACCAGAUUCUACUUCAGUGGCCAGGACCUUUAUGGCCGCUGAUCCUGUUUGGCUCUGGGUUCUGAUGAGAAAACACCGUGGAUCCAGCCCUAAAGUAGAAAUUUUCUUUUUUCAUUCUGCAAGCAAGGCUAAACCUCGGAGAGGAGAAUGAAUGUGAAUGCAGUUCGAGAUUAUGGUCGUGUCAUUAAAAGUGUUCGGCUUCCGAGCAAAAUGGGAAAUCCGAUCAGUUGAUCUUCCUGUACCAACAAUAUUUAAAAGUUGUAUGUGGUUCGAGUGACCUGGCUCGAGCAACAGCAAUCUCUGUAUGUCAAUAUUUUCUGCGGUUUAUGGAGUGAAAAGUAGUUGCUGGGUUGGAAAGGAAGAAGCUGCUAAUCUCAGCCUGUAGAAGGAUUAAAUGUUGAAUAUGGGGAAAAGGCAAAAAAAGUAAAUAUCUGCCUGAAGGCUAUCGUGGCACUGAAGAUGAGUUUAAAGUGCUGUCUAUCCUAGGGCCCACCUUAACAGCAAGACUAAACAUAUAAUGGGGGAAUAUUUAAAUUAGAAACCCAUUAACAAGCAUUUAAUCCUUCUUUAAGGCAGUAGAGGAAAUAAUAUAAAACUGUUAUUGUACAAAUCUAUUAGAAGCAGAUUUUAACUCGUAUUUAGGCUCUUCUUUUUCAAGUAUUUAAUAUAGCUACUCAGGAAUCAGGAUAGUGAACAUUUUUCCUGUACUCUCCCCUUCCUCUCCCCCAGAGUCAUGGCAUAUAUUCUAAGAAACAUUUUAGUCAAUCAAAUUAUGUAUUGUUUUCAAUGUAUGUGCAUAUAUUGCCUGCUUGUUUGAUAUUUUCUGCCCCUACUUGGAAAUGUGUUUAACUUUUUUCAAAAUAGCAGGGGGAAAAAAAGAGUUUUACUGAAUGCAAUCGUGACGAUACAGAUUAUUUGAAGAAGGAUUCUACUGGAUCACAUUGGACUUUUCCUAGUCCCUGAGACCCUAACUUGUGAGGUUUUUUAGCAACAAUCACAAGUCAGGCUCUUGGGACCUAGGCGGAGGGGAACCAGCAGCUUUGGACUUAUUGAUUGUUUUUCUGCGAUAUUAAGAGAACCAAAGGAAACAUUCCUGUCCAGGGGAAUUAUUAAUUUCAUAUGUUAAGAACUAUUACUAAACAAAAAUAUUCUUAUCCACUGUACCCGAUAAAGUGGUUAUAUGAAGAUGCUACAUAUUUGCAUGUUUGGAAACCUGUUUUGUACAGGACAUUGUGUAAAAUCUGGAAUUAAAAUUUAAAACAAAUGCUAGAUACGUACAUGAAAAGCCAAGUACUGAAAAAUACGUGAAGUAUUUCCAACCAUGUUUCUGCUAUUACGGAUGAUACACAUAGAUAAUUAAGAUGAAGCACAUGUCCAGUUGUACUGCUAUAGUAUUUGAUUUACUCUUUAAAUCAGACAAUUUGAACACUGAUGCAUGAGGCCUAGCACACCAUACAUUCUGGGGUACAGAGAUAUGAACAGACAAGAAAACUGUUGCUUAGUUUUCCCUGUAACCCAAUACAGAGAUUCCUCUAUAGUUAGCUGUCAUUACUCCUUGUCUAAGCAAAAACACAAUAUGAAAUUAUGAAGGGUCACACUUACUUGAAACCACUUUUUAAUAUGAUAAGAAAAUUGAUAGGUAGUGUCAAGUUCAUAACACACUAUUGAAAUCACUUGGAACACAAGGCUAUUUACUCUUGAUGUUGAUGUACUUAUCCUAUCUAAACCAUGAAAGCAGUAUACCAUUUAUUGGAUUCAACAUCUAGUCUCUUCCUUCACUUUUCACCUUUAUUCAGUUAUAGAAACAGAAUGACUUUUAUGUUGUCCCCAGAUGCAAAAUACUUCUGUGACCGAAGUACACAAAGAUUUGGAAGGACAAGAUACUUUGUAACGUUUAUCGGUCCCUCAAAGUGCUGAAGUAUUAAGUUCCAAUGAAUCACUUUGUUUCCUGUAUCUAACCCAACAUGCUGCAGCACCUUGUAGAUGGUGUGCUAAUAUCAAACCUCACUGAUUUAAAACAAAGGCUUUACACAGCACAAGCAUCUAAACAAUUUGUUCAUUUCAAAAGCAGUAUUUUGGCUUGAGUUAAUUUUUUUCCACACAUGUAGGAGGAAUUGUGCAUUAUUGUAAGUGCCAACCCUUUGUUAAAAUAAAUUAUUCUUACGUGUUAGCA